GGCGCACGGGUGCGUAACACGUAUGCAACCUACCUUAUAGACGGGGAUAGCCUUUGGAAACGGAGAUUAAUACCCGAUAGUAAUAUUGACUGGCAUCAGUUUAUAUUUAAAGAUUUAUCGCUAUAAGCUGGGCAUGCGUCCAAUUAGUUAGUUGGUGAGGUAACGGCUCACCAAGACGAUGAUUGGUAGGGGAACUGAGAGGUUAAUCCCCCACACUGGCACUGAGAUACGGGCCAGACUCCUACGGGAGGCAGCAGUAGGGAAUAUUGGGCAAUGGAGGCAACUCUGACCCAGCCAUGCCGCGUGCAGGAUGAAGGCGUUAUGCGUUGUAAACUGCUUUUAUAUAGGAAGAAAUAGACCUUGCGAGGUAAGUUGACGGUACUAUAUGAAUAAGCACCGGCUAACUCCGUGCCAGCAGCCGCGGUAAUACGGAGGGUGCAAGCGUUGUCCGGAUUUAUUGGGUUUAAAGGGUGCGUAGGCGGUUUAUUAAGUCAGUGGUGAAAGACGGUCGCUCAACGAUUGCAGUGCCAUUGAUACUGGUAGACUUGAGUGAGAUUGAGGUAGCUGGAAUGGAUAGUGUAGCGGUGAAAUGCAUAGAUAUUAUCCAGAACACCAAUUGCGUAGGCAAGUUACUAAG
Molecule: ribosomal RNA, 637 nt
Filed under: uncultured bacterium
Lineage: Bacteria
Description: bacterial SSU rRNA
Rfam family: Bacterial small subunit ribosomal RNA
Source: RNAcentral